ACUGGAGGUGGGAUUUCUCAGCCCAGAUUGUGAGAGGGUACAGUCCAGGUUGAGGGACCUCACCAGUGCACG
RNAcentral lists this microRNA precursor (72 nucleotides) under Myotis davidii. RNAcentral describes it as "mir-9193 microRNA precursor family". It matches the Rfam family "mir-9193 microRNA precursor family". The record is from Rfam by way of RNAcentral. Lineage: Eukaryota; Metazoa; Chordata; Mammalia; Chiroptera; Vespertilionidae.